This 468-nucleotide ribosomal RNA is filed under the name uncultured bacterium. RNAcentral describes it as "partial 16S ribosomal RNA". It matches the Rfam family "Bacterial small subunit ribosomal RNA", at positions 28 to 507 of the family's 1533-position model. The record is from RNAcentral.
GACGAACGCUGGCGGCGUGCUUAACACAUGCAAGUCGAACGGAAAGGCCCUGCUUUUGUGGGGUGCUCGAGUGGCGAACGGGUGAGUAACACGUGAGUAACCUGCCCUUGACUUUGGGAUAACUUCAGGAAACCUGGGCUUAUACCGGAUAGGAGCUCCCGCUGCAUGGUGGGGGUUGGGAAGUUUCGGCGGUUGGGGAUGGACUCGCGGCUUAUCAGCUUGUUGGUGGGGUAGUGGCUUACCAAGGCUUUGACGGGUAGCCGGCCUGAGAGGGUGACCGGCCACAUUGGGACUGAGAUACGGCCCAGACUCCUACGGGAGGCAGCAGUGGGGAAUAUUGCACAAUGGGCGGAAGCCUGAUGCAGCAACGCCGCGUGCGGGAUGACGGCCUUCGGGUUGUAAACCGCUUUCGCCUGUGACGAAGCGUGAGUGACGGUAAUGGGUAAAGAAGCACCGGCUAACUACGUG